Triticum aestivum (bread wheat) is the source of this 264-nucleotide long non-coding RNA. RefSeq lists it as uncharacterized. NCBI's taxonomy places the organism in Eukaryota, Viridiplantae, Streptophyta, Magnoliopsida, Poales, Poaceae. The record is from RefSeq and is a predicted model, not a curated record. The transcript has 4 exons.
GGACGGGCCGACAGGGACCGUCGUGCUCAUCGACAAGCCCAAAGGGUGGACCUCAUUUACUGUUUGUGGAAAACUACGGCGGUUGGUGAAAGUGCAAAAGGUUGGCCAUGAUGGUACUCUGGAUCCUAUGGCCACUGGAUUGUUGAUUGUUUGUGUGGGCAAAGCAACCAAAGUUGUUGAUAGAUAUCAAGGCAUGGUUAAAGGCUAUAGUGGUGUUUUCCGGCUUGGGGAAGCAACAUCAACCUGGGAUGCAGAUUCACCAGU